UCACCUCAUCCGCCGCCGCUGCCUUUUUUUUUACUUCAUUCACCAUCACUCUAUUUCAUAUACGCUUCAUUUUAAAUUUGAGAUGGUUCAAUUUAAUCAUACCAAAGAUGUCGAAGAUGAUCAGAAGAUGAUGACGAUUCCCUAUCAACAGGUUCCCGAGCGCUGAAGCUGAUUCUUCUCGUCCAGAAAUUCUCAUUGAAAAUUUACACCCCUGUAAAAGCUAAUCUGAUGUUAAAAAUCUUUCAAAAUCCAAUACAGGAUUCUGCUUCACAUUGGAAGAAUAGGACGACAAAUUCCUCUGAGCAAGGCGCGCUUGUCCGAAGCAAAUUGAGGCUAGAUGGGGUCAGUUGGUCCAUUGUUUACAGUGUAAUCUCUUCUACCUCUUUCAUCCUGAAACUUAUAAGUUGAAUGAAGAAACUCGAUGUUAUUGUCUUACUGUUAAUAAUCUAUUUCUUCUCCAGGUUGCUUCUGGACAAAGGAUCAAAAGGAGGACAUUGCAUGAUGUCCAACGAAAGAAUUCACCAGCACAUGAAUUGAGUGAUCAUGUGGUCGAAGCAAGCAGCAUCCCAGUCAAUGUAGGUGGGUGCAGGGUGAAGGCUGAUAAUGCACCCAUAGUAACCUCCAUUAUAGCCGGGUAUGGUGAUAUUGCUGCACACUGCAUGCUCAAUUCAGCUGUCGCGAGAGCAUCAAUGCUCGAGGUGAUAUGUGAUAUCGUCAAGAGGCUUCAAAGCAGGAAUGAAGCUGAGACCAUAUCACAUCUCGAAGCAAUGGAAACUGAACUGUGAGAUGCAGAGGCAGCUAGAACUGGACUCUACUGGCUGCAACACUGCUUGACAAAGUUCCAUGAAGCUCACGGGAAAAGCCCCUUGAUGCUUAACCAAAUGCAUUCAAGCCUUAAGCUGGUUUCAAAAGCUGUUGAAAGGAAUUUGGCAGCUGCUCAAAAAUGGGCCAGGGAAUCGGAGAGCUGCUUGCGAGCAUUGGCUUUGGUUGGGAAAAAGUUUCGUGAAGACAUGUCCCAGCAUGAAGCCAAGGACAGUGAGUAGCGUAAUCCCCUAAAUUGGCAGGCCAAGCUGUGAGCCCUGGGAUAUUGGAAUUAGAUUUUAUAGCAAACAUGUGUGGUUUCGGAGUUUAACUAUGUUGCAAAAUGUUUUUCAAAUGGACAAAUUACAUUUUACAACAUAGUUAUACCCUGAAACUACACAUGUAUGCUUUAUAUUCUCAAUCCAACAUCCCAAGGACUCGCAGCUUGGCCUGCUCAUUGGGGGGAUUACGCCACUCACUUGCUUUGGCUUCAUGGAGGGCCAUAUCAUCUCGGAACUUUUUCCCUACCACAACUAAUGCUCUCAAGCAGCUUUCGGACUCCGUAGCCCACUUUUGAGCUGCUGCCAAAUCCCUUUCUGCAGCUUUGGAAACCAGCCACAGGCUAGAAUCCAUUUGGUCAAGCACCUGAGGGACUUUUCCCCUGAGCUUCACGGAACUUUGUCAGGAAGAGUUGCAGCCAGGAGACCUCAAUUCUAGCUGCCUCUGCAUCUCGCAGUUCAGUCUCCAUUGCUUUGAGAUGCGAUAUGGUAUGUGCUGCAUUGCUGCUUUGAAGACAAUAUCGCAUAUGACCUCGAGCAUUGAUGCUCUCACGGUGGCUGAAGUGAACAUGCAGUUGGCAGCAAUGUCACCGUACCUGGUUAUAAUGAAGGUUAGUAUGGGUGCAUUUGCAGCCUUCACCCUGUACCCA
This is a long non-coding RNA of Daucus carota subsp. sativus, 1729 nucleotides long. RefSeq lists it as uncharacterized. Lineage: Eukaryota; Viridiplantae; Streptophyta; Magnoliopsida; Apiales; Apiaceae. The record is from RefSeq and is a predicted model, not a curated record. The transcript is spliced from 3 exons.